This 250-nucleotide ribosomal RNA is filed under the name uncultured bacterium. Its description in RNAcentral is "partial 16S ribosomal RNA". It matches the Rfam family "Bacterial small subunit ribosomal RNA", at positions 805 to 1058 of the family's 1533-position model. The record is from RNAcentral.
AACGAUGAAUACUAGAUUUUUGCGAUAUAGUGUAAGAGUCUAAGCGAAAGCGAUAAGUAUUCCACCUGGGGAGUACGCCGGCAACGGUGAAACUCAAAGGAAUUGACGGGGGCCCGCACAAGCGGAGGAACAUGUGGUUUAAUUCGAUGAUACGCGAGGAACCUUACCCGGGAUUGAAAUUUAGAUGGCGGCAGAUGAGAGUUUGCUUUCCUUCGGGACAUCUAAGUAGGUGCUGCAUGGCUGUCGUCAG